Molecule: long non-coding RNA, 631 nt
Filed under: Glycine max (soybean)
Lineage: Eukaryota; Viridiplantae; Streptophyta; Magnoliopsida; Fabales; Fabaceae
Description: long non-coding RNA (GMAX_LNC000746)
Source: RNAcentral
UUCAAUCCAUUUAAGGAGUUAAUUAACAUCUUUCAACAACUGAUGAUACUCUUCAUAUAUAUUUAGAUUUUGAAAUGGCACCAUUCAUUGACAACAUACUAAAGGAGUAUGAUUAUUUGCAAACCAUACCAUCACUUUGAUACUAAGUAUACUUAGCAUUGAAGAAUAUUCCUCCAUGGUGGCACCAAGGCACAGCUCAGAUAGUUGAACGGGAUGAAUGAAAAUAGCUACAAAGUAGAGUCAUGCCCUGUGACAAACAAGUGCAGGUGGCAAUGGGGGUGGAGAGUGAGCAUUACAAAUAAGAAUAUGCUAAUUUCUAUUCGCAGAUCUAAGUUGGGCAAAGACAAAAUGCACACAAAAUUCAAAACCAUCCUUAAUUAGCCCGUUUAAUUUGACUCACGAUGUGACAUUGAAGAUACCAUUAACCAAAAUAAAUAUACUUACAUGUCCAAUAUCACGCCACCGCCACUGGACGAGAGUGAAUGUGACUUCAUUUUAUCUAUACCGUGUCUAAGAACAAAGAAUAGUGGGACUCCACAUACAUAGACUAGACAAGAUGAAAGUUUCGCACUUAUAUUCGAUGGAGUUAAAGUAACAAACUCAUUUAUUUUAUAUUUUUGUCUGGUGAUCU